UCCCAGGUGGCUCAGAGGUUAAAGCAUCUGCCUGCAAUGCGGGAGACCUGGGUUCGAUCCCUGGGUUGGGAA
This 72-nucleotide transfer RNA is filed under the name Ovis aries (sheep). It matches the Rfam family "tRNA". From Rfam's summary of the family: Transfer RNA (tRNA) molecules are approximately 80 nucleotides in length. Their secondary structure includes four short double-helical elements and three loops (D, anti-codon, and T loops). Lineage: Eukaryota; Metazoa; Chordata; Mammalia; Artiodactyla; Bovidae. The record is from Rfam by way of RNAcentral.